Molecule: ribosomal RNA, 850 nt
Filed under: uncultured archaeon
Lineage: Archaea
Description: bacterial SSU rRNA
Rfam family: Archaeal small subunit ribosomal RNA
Source: RNAcentral
CAAGACCGGUGCCAGCAGCCGCGGUAAUACCGGCGGCCAAGUGGUGGCCACUGUAUGGGCCUAAAGCGUCCGUAGCCGGCCCCGGUAAGUCUCUGCUUAAAUCUGCGGCUCAACCGCAGGGCUGGCAGAGAUACUGCCGGGCUUGGGACCGGGAGAGGCCGGGGGUACCCCAGGGGUAGCGGUGAAAUGCGUUGAUCCCUGGGGGACCACCUGUGGCGAAGGCGCCCGGCUGGAACGGGUCCGACGGUGAGGGACGAAGGCCGGGGGAGCAGACCGGAUUAGAUACUCGGGUAGUCCCGGCUGUAAACUCUGCGGACUAGGUGUCGCGUCGGCUUCGGGCCGGCGCGGUGCCGAAGGGAAGCCGUUAAGUCCGCCGCCUGGGGAGUACGGUCGCAAGACUGAAACUUAAAGGAAUUGGCGGGGGAGCACUACAACGGGUGGAGCCUGCGGUUUAAUUGGAUUCAACGCCGGGCAUCUUACCAGGGGCGACGGCAGGAUGAAGGCCAGGUUGACGACCUUGCCAGACGCGCCGGGAGGUGGUGCAUGGCCGUCGUCAGCUCGUACCGUGAGGCGUCCUGUUAAGUCAGGUAACGAGCGAGACCCGUGCCCCAUGUUGCCAUCCCCUCCUCCGGGAGGGGGGCACUCAUGGGGGACCGCCGGCGAAAAGCCGGAGGAAGGUGCGGGCAACGACAGGUCCGCAUGCCCCGAAUCCCCUGGGCUACACGCGGGCUACAAUGGCCGGGACAAUGGGAUGCGACCCCGAAAGGGGGAGCAAAUCCCCUAAACCCGGUCGUAGUCCGGAUCGAGGGCUGUAACUCGCCCUCGGAAGCCGGAAUCCGUAGAAUGGCUC